This 217-nucleotide long non-coding RNA is filed under the name Elaeis guineensis (African oil palm). Its description in RNAcentral is "long non-coding RNA (EGUI_LNC059749)". Lineage: Eukaryota; Viridiplantae; Streptophyta; Magnoliopsida; Arecales; Arecaceae. The record is from RNAcentral.
GAUUGUUGCUAUUGCCAUGUACCAUCUAGAGAGUUUGUCUCUAGUGGGAGGAUAAAUGUAUUUAUAGAUUUAAGCAGGUAUUGAGGAGUAGGUACUUCUAUUUUUGAUAAGACAGUCAAAAUAUUUGACUUUAUCAAAUAUAGAUGAACCAUGUGUGUGUGCAAGAAGACAAGUGACAAUCCCACUAACUUCUUGGUUAUGUAUGUGGGUGACAUAC